Molecule: ribosomal RNA, 79 nt
Filed under: Patella vulgata (common limpet)
Lineage: Eukaryota; Metazoa; Mollusca; Gastropoda; Patellidae
Description: partial 16S ribosomal RNA
Source: RNAcentral
AUAAGACAAGAAGACCCUAUCGAGCUUUAAGUUUGCUGCAUAGAAUCAUUUAGUUGACUUUUGGUUGGGGCAACCAGGG